CAUAAAUUUGCUACUCUAUUCUUUAGCGGUUGACACACAAAACACAGACUUACAAUGAAUAGCCAGCUGCCCCUUCAUAAAUUCAUCGCCGCCGUUUCCCCGACGACUCGUCGCCGCUUCACCACCAUUGAUCCAGAACGACAAGGAAAGAAACAGCUAUAUAACAAGCUAAAAAAAAGCAACCUUUAGUUAAGUGGGACUAACAGAUGGGUGUUGAAUUUGCCCCUCAAUAUACAGAAUAUAGAGGAAUGGAAGAGCAAGAUGAGGUUGAGGAAGCUGUUAGUUUCACUGACUGGGAUUUAUCUUAUCAUGUUAGAGAUGCCCUUUUGUCAGCAUUUCUGGUUUUGAUAGUUUUUUAUUAGUGGUUUAUGUUUUUUUUGGAGAAAUUGUCUUAAAGCUCAGUUUUUUUAAAUUGGUCGUGUUUGAAUUUUUUACCCAUUUAUGGUGAGAAAUGGUAGAGUUGAAUUCAUAUACAGGUUCUUAUAGGAAAUGUAUAUAGGUGGGGAUGCUGAGUGGCUUGUUUUGAUUGAUUAAACCAAUCUAACUUGGCCCCUGGGGUUGGUCUGUUCCGUUUACUCAAGUCAUUUGGAGCUAAUGGCUAGGUAUUUGAAUGCUGUGCCAUUAGAAGAGUUUAAAAAUAUAGGGGAGCCUGUAGUCAUGAACUGUUUCUGGGCUGUGGUGGGCCUGGGGUUCCUUUUCUUGGAGAGUUGCUUCAUUGUUUGGUAGAUCUAAGGAUCCGUUGUUUAAGUAAUUUAGUAUUUGAUAGAAAUGGAAUAGUUGAUUGAAAGAGAAGUGUUGAGUUCAUAAUUGGUUGUGGAAUUGUCGGAGACUGAAAGGGUGAUAGGAGCAGUUAACACUAGCUUGCUGGGGUUUUGCAUCGCAGCGAUCGUUUUGCUCCUGAUAAAGUGGCUUUGCUUUUGACAAGUCUAAAGGCAUUAUCUGGGGCAGUUUCUUAUAUGAACGAUGUUGACCAUGUGUCUCUUCUUCAAUCAUGAUUUUUGGAAUGAGCAUGUGGAACUGUGUGCCUGAUGUGAUGGGUGCAUUGCUUGAACUUGCUGCUUCAAAUGGAAAAUAUGUUGAUCUAUGCCUUGAUAUGCUCAUAAACAAUUUUAUGCCACCAAUGGAAUCACAUAUGCUCAGGAAUGCAUGUGUUCAGGCAAUAAAGGAACAAGUUCUUCCUCGUGUGCAUACUGGUCUAGAAGUCAUUGUUGAUUUGGUGCCUAUGGCAGCCAUAAAUUUGUCUACAACAGUUGUCCAAAUGAGGCCUAUGUUUUUUAGGAAGGAUUUCAACACGGAUCAUCUAAAAUGUCAUCUGCAGAUAUAUUUGAAGGAUAUGCUAAUGUUGGAGGGCGGUGCUAUUAGAGAAUUUGUUGGGAACAGCAUGCUCGUGGAAGUGGUUGCGAUUGGCUGGGAUGAAAUGUUAAGGGAUGAUCUCUGCAAAGGCAUCUUUACAAUGGAGUUAGAAGAUGAGGAUGAGGUAUGAUGAUGAUGAUGGUCAGGCAAAUAAUGAUGGUGAGGUAUGAUGAUGAUGGUCAGGCAAAUAAUGAUGGUGAGCUUCCAAGUACAUUAAUUCUCAAGAGUUUAGGUAAAAGUGUUACUGUUGACUUACUGGAUAGCUUGAUGAUACAAUUUUUGAGCAUCUUGAAGCCUCUGCAGAUAAGAAGCCUUUGGGUGAGGAUGAGUGCUAGGCUUAUCUUGCUAGCUAUUUGGCUCGUGGGAAGUUUCUAUCAGUUUCCUCUCUCGUUAAUGUGUUGAAAAGGCUGGUGGAUUGGUGUUUGUGAAGAGUGGGUUUGUGACAUGAAUCCAAAAGCACCUCAAGCUUUCUAUUAUGCAUGCCAGGUAUCAGAAACCAUGUCAAAACUACGAAGAUGUUGAAGAGGAAGACAACAGUGAUGAAGAUAUUGCUGAUGAUUUUGGGGUUGUAAACCAAGAGAAUUUCAUGGAAGAAGGGAUGGCAAGGAGUUUGACCAAGAUAUUGAUCUUGAUGAAUUUGUCUAUGGGAUGAACAACAGGUUUGAAGUUUUGGGGCCUUCAAAGAUAUGACCCUCUACAAGUCCAGAGUCCUUAUGAUAAGUCUAAGAAUACAUCAGGUUUGAAGUUUUGGGGCUGAACGAAUGCCUUCAAAGACAUGACCCUCUACAAGUCCAGAGUCCUUAUGAUAAGUCCAAAACCUUUAAAAAGACAUGCCCUAUUGACUGCAGUUGUUACUAAAGGGUCCAACGCUUCAACUUAGAGAGAGGGAAUCUUGGCUCAACCAUUGAUUGAUUAAGAGUUCCAUGGGAUGCAGAACUUCCAAGCUUUGGUUAAGUUGACAAAUUCUCAACUUUGUUCCUUGUCUUUGAAUCUCUCUCAUCUUCUGUAGUAAACAUGGCCAAAUCUUAAUGUCAGAUAAAGAAUGCUCGGGAGUUGCAGCAAGAAAAGAUAUAAAGAUAUUGAAUUGGUGUUAAGAUUCUAAAACUGGUUUUCUUUUUUCUAUUUAAGAGUUGAGCAAUAUUCCUGAGCUA
This is a long non-coding RNA of Populus nigra (black poplar), 2504 nucleotides long. RefSeq lists it as uncharacterized. The transcript has 12 exons. Lineage: Eukaryota; Viridiplantae; Streptophyta; Magnoliopsida; Malpighiales; Salicaceae. The record is from RefSeq and is a predicted model, not a curated record.